CACGUAGGGCGCAAGCGUUGUCCGGAAUUAUUGGGCGUAAAGAGCUCGUAGGCGGUCUGUUGCGUCCGCUGUGAAAACUCGGGGCUUAACCCCGAGCCUGCAGUGGAUACGGGCAGACUAGAGGUAGGUAGGGGAGAAUGGAAUUCCCGGUGUAGCGGUGAAAUGCGCAGAUAUCGGGAGGAACACCGGUGGCGAAGGCGGUUCUCUGGGCAGAUACUGACGCUGAGGAGCGAAAGCGUGGGGAGCGAACAGG
RNAcentral lists this ribosomal RNA (253 nucleotides) under uncultured bacterium. Its description in RNAcentral is "partial 16S ribosomal RNA". It matches the Rfam family "Bacterial small subunit ribosomal RNA", at positions 524 to 776 of the family's 1533-position model. The record is from RNAcentral.